GAAUAAAUGGCGUAAUCUAGCGUGUACGGUUUCGGGUCGUAAGGAGCAAUAUGCUUUAUUCU
Molecule: transfer RNA, 62 nt
Filed under: Marcia hiantina
Lineage: Eukaryota; Metazoa; Mollusca; Bivalvia; Venerida; Veneridae
Description: tRNA-Arg
Source: RNAcentral